This 406-nucleotide ribosomal RNA is filed under the name uncultured bacterium. RNAcentral describes it as "partial 16S ribosomal RNA". It matches the Rfam family "Bacterial small subunit ribosomal RNA", at positions 30 to 526 of the family's 1533-position model. The record is from RNAcentral.
AUUGAACGCUGGCGGCAGGCCUAACACAUGCAAGUCGAACGAGUGGCGGACGGGUGAGCAAUGACUGGGCCACUGCCUGAUGGAGAGGGUUCACUACUGGAAACGGUAGCUACUAACGCAUUCCAUCGGCUGUGCCCAGAUGGGAUUAGCUAGUAGGUGGGGUAAAGGCUCACCUAGGCGACGAUCCGUAGCUGGUCUGAGAGGAUGACCAGCCACACUGGAACUGAGACACGGUCCAGACUCCUACGGGAGGCAGCAGUGGGGAAUAUUGGACAAUGGGCGCAAGCCUGAUGCAGCCAUGCCGCGUGUAUGAAGAAGGCCUUCGGGUUGUAAAGUACUUUCAGCGGGGAGGCGUUACCCGCAGAAGAAGCACCGGCUAACUCCGUGCCAGCAGCCGCGGUAAUAC